CCUACGGGUGGCAGCAGUGGGGAAUAUUUGGCAAUGGGCGCAAGCCUGACCCAGCAACGCCGCGUGAAGGAAGAAGGCUUUCGGGUUGUAAACUUCUUUUAAGAGGGAAGAGCAGAAGACGGUACCUCUUGAAUAAGCCACGGCUAACUACGUGCCAGCAGCCGCGGUAAUACGUAGGUGGCAAGCGGUGUCCGGAUUUACUGGGGGUAAAGGGCGUGUAGCCGGGCUGACAAGUCAGAUGUGAAAUCCGGGGGCUCAACCCUCGAACUGCAUUUGAAACUGUUGGUCUUGAGUAUCGGAGAGGCAGGCGGAAUUCCUAGUGUAGCGGUGAAAUGCGUAGAUAUUAGGAGGAACACCAGUGGCGAAGGCGACCUGCUGGACGACAACUGACGGUGAGGCGCGAAAGCGUGGGGAGCAAACAGGAUUAGAUACCCGAGUAGUC
This 442-nucleotide ribosomal RNA is filed under the name uncultured bacterium. RNAcentral's name for it is "partial 16S ribosomal RNA". It matches the Rfam family "Bacterial small subunit ribosomal RNA", at positions 338 to 795 of the family's 1533-position model. The record is from RNAcentral.